This is a long non-coding RNA of Oryzias melastigma (Indian medaka), 792 nucleotides long. RefSeq lists it as uncharacterized. The transcript is spliced from 2 exons. The record is from RefSeq and is a predicted model, not a curated record. NCBI's taxonomy places the organism in Eukaryota, Metazoa, Chordata, Actinopteri, Beloniformes, Adrianichthyidae.
GUUUGUGUAAAUAUUUGGGGCUAAAGCUGCUUCUCUCUUGGUGUAUUUUUCGGACCCUGCAGGUGAUUUCUGCCUCUCUGGCUCGGCUCCAGAAGCUCCACUCAGAAGCAGCUUUCAGCUGGAGCUUCAAACAGGAACGAGGAGGUUAUUGGGCGCGCUGCUCAGCGGAUGAGGAGGGAUCAGCCCGGACUGAGAGAAAUACCUCCAGGAGGACAGACGUUCAGGAAUAGAAGCAGCGAUCGUCCUCGAGUGGGAAAACCUCCCAGCUGAUCUUUAUUCAUGCCGUCGUUUGACAAGAUUCUGCAGCAACAGGUAACAUCCGGCGACGCUGGAGCCCUUCAUUUGGUUUUAUUAUUCGGGUCGUUUAAGGACACAGCUGAGGAAAAGUUUGGAUCUGAAAAACUCAGUUUACCACCAAACAUUUAUUGAGUAUCCGAUUUAAUGGAACACGAAGUUUUGAACAGAACAUUUCAGUGUAAAGUAAUCUCUGUAGCGACUGUCUUACAUCACAAAUCUGUAUUUUUUCAUCUGCUCCUGAAUCACAAUGCUUGAAAUAAAUACUCACAAAUGCAAAUUAUAGGUAAAUCUCUUUAUAUAUGCCCUUUAUCAUCAGAAAAAUACCACAGAAACGUAUUAAAAACACUAAAAUUUUCAUCAGACUGGGUCUUUCACCCUUUAACUACCCAGAAAAGAAAAAAAAAAACACACAAAAAAAGUAAUUUUUUCUGCUGUUAAUUGCCUUGUUAUGGAGCCACAAAAGGGACAUUAAAGCUAAAAAAAAAAAAAUAAAAA